Long non-coding RNA from Vidua chalybeata, 450 nucleotides. RefSeq lists it as uncharacterized. The transcript is spliced from 2 exons. The record is from RefSeq and is a predicted model, not a curated record. NCBI's taxonomy places the organism in Eukaryota, Metazoa, Chordata, Aves, Passeriformes, Viduidae.
CGUCCGCACCCGCCCAGACCCUGAGGCACAGCCCGAACCGACAGCCAGGCCUGAGCCUACAGCCCGGCACACACUCACACCUGUGGUUAUCCUGGACAUGUGAGGAAGACCUUCGGCCUUCCUCCAAGAAAACCUCUGAAGAGACAAGAAGGCCCCAUAGCAACAAUGGGAGCAUGAGCCGUGCAGUAGAGUGACGUAGAUUUCAAGAAUCGAAAAUGGGAGGAGAUUUAUGGGAACUACUGAUGAAUAUGUACUAGCAUAAAGUAUAAAAGUCCUGCUUGGAUUCUUUGCCUGUUGUACGUGAGGCAGGGUGGGAAGCCCUCCUGUACCCCAGUCUGUUUUGCUUAUGCUUUAUCUGAACCACUGCCAAAUUUCUUUUUGUAACUACUGAAUUAUAUUUGAUUGUAUUAUUAUUUUAUAUCUCCAUUAAAAUAGCUGCUAAUUUUUAAA